This 392-nucleotide ribosomal RNA is filed under the name uncultured bacterium. Its description in RNAcentral is "bacterial SSU rRNA". It matches the Rfam family "Bacterial small subunit ribosomal RNA", at positions 29 to 446 of the family's 1533-position model. The record is from RNAcentral.
AACGAACGCUGGCGGCAUGCCUAACACAUGCAAGUCGAACGAGACCUUCGGGUCUAGUGGCGCACGGGUGCGUAACGCGUGGGAACCUGCCUUUAGGUUCGGAAUAACUCAGAGAAAUUUGAGCUAAUACCGGAUAAUGUCUUCGGACCAAAGAUUUAUCGCCUUUAGAUGGGCCCGCGUUGGAUUAGGUAGUUGGUGGGGUAAAGGCCUACCAAGCCGACGAUCCAUAGCUGGUUUGAGAGGAUGAUCAGCCACACUGGGACUGAGACACGGCCCAGACUCCUACCGGGAGGCAGCAGUGGGGAAUCUUGCGCAAUGGGCGAAAGCCUGACGCAGCAACGCCGCGUGCGGGAAGAAAGGCUUUCGGGCUGUAAACCGCUUUCAGCAGGACG